GCGCAAUGGGCGAAAGCCUGACGCAGCGACACCGCGUGCGGGAUGAAGCUCUUCGGAGUGUAAACCGCUGUGGCGAGGGAAGAAUUUUGACGGUACCUCGCUAGAAAGCACCAGCUAACUACGUGCCAGAAGCUUCGGUAAUACGUAGGGUGCAAGCGUUAUCCGGAAUUACUGGGCGUAAAGCGUCCGUCGGCGGUUUGAUAAGUCUUUCGUUUAAGCCUAGGGCCUAACUCUAGAUCGGCGAAGGAAACUAUCUUACUUGAGUCUAUUCGGGGAAACUGGAAUUCUCGGUGGAGGGGUGAAAUCCGUAGAUAUCGAGAGGAACGCCAAGCGCGAAGGCAAGUUUCUAGAAUAGCACUGACGCUCAGGGACGAAAGCUAGGGUAGCAAAAGGGAUUAGAGACCCCUGUAGUCCUAGCCGUAAACAUUGGAUGCUAGAUGGUUGUUCUUUUAGAAUGACCGUCGUAAGCUAACGCGUUAAGCAUCCCGCCUGGGGAGUACGACCGCAAGGUUA
This 513-nucleotide ribosomal RNA is filed under the name uncultured bacterium. RNAcentral describes it as "bacterial SSU rRNA". It matches the Rfam family "Bacterial small subunit ribosomal RNA", at positions 366 to 896 of the family's 1533-position model. The record is from RNAcentral.